GCCAUGCUGGCUGGCUGGCUGGCUGGCUGGCUGGCUGGCUGGCCGGCCUAUUACACACAGCUUUCUCUCCAGCAACCGCAGCAGAUAAAUUCCCCGCUUUAUAAGGUGGUUAACUAACCGUUCCUUUCUCCCUCUGAGAAGAUUGUCCCGUCUCAUCAUUUUCGUCGACGUCUGCGACUCUCUGUGGCCUGUGUUUCGUCUCUUCCAUAGACAGUAGCAAUGGAGAUUCUCACGCUUACUGGUUUGUUGAAGAAAUCCGCCGAUGAAUUCCCAUCCCGAAGAGCUCUGUCCUCCUCCGGUAAGUUCGAUCUAACACAUACUCGAUUGCAAGCACUCAUCGAACAAGCCGCCUCUCGCCUUGUCGCCUUCGGCAUUAAACCUGGCGAUGUCGUCGCUCUUACCUUCCCUAACACCGUCGAGUUUGUGAUUAUGUUCUUGGCCGUAAUCCGAGCACGAGCCACGGCCGCUCCACUCAACGCAGCCUACACGCAGGACGAGUUUGACUUCUACCUGUCCGAUUCUGAAUCGAAGAUCCUCUUAACAUCAGAAGAAGGAAAUCCGUCCGCUCAGGCCGCCGCUUCGAGUCUCAACAUUCCUCACGUAACCGCUUCGCUAUCUCAGGCAGAAAGCGGCAUAAAUCUGUCUUCUUCGUCGCCAACCGAUUCAAAAGCCGAUUCGGAGCUAAAAUCGGUGUCUCUGAUCGUGAACGAACCAUCCGACGUGGCACUCUUCCUCCAUACCUCAGGCACAACGAGUAGACCUAAAGGUGUACCGCUGACUCAGCUGAACCUCGCGUCGUCAGUACAGAAUAUCAAAUCGGUCUACAGACUGACAGAAUCGGACUCAACAGUAAUCGUACUCCCGCUCUUCCACGUGCACGGUUUACUCGCCGGGUUACUGAGUUCGCUCGUUGCCGGAGCUGCCGUGGCACUCCCCGCGGCAGGACGGUUCUCCGCUUCUACGUUUUGGUCAGAUAUGAUUAAUUACAACGCCACUUGGUACACUGCGGUCCCUACUAUUCAUCAGAUCAUCUUAGACAGGCAUCUGAGCAAACCCGAGCCGGCUUACCCGAAGCUGCGUUUCAUAAGGAGUUGCAGCGCAUCACUUGCGCCGGCUAUAUUGAGUCGGCUAGAGGAGGCAUUCGGGGCUCCGGUGUUGGAGGCUUACGCUAUGACGGAAGCUUCACAUCUGAUGUCAUCGAACCCGUUGCCAGAGGACGGUCCGCAUAAACCGGGUUCGGUUGGGAAACCGGUGGGGCAAGAGAUGGCGAUUUUGGAUGAGAAUGGUGUGCCACAGCCGGCGCAGGUUAGUGGCGAGGUAUGUAUAAGGGGGCCGAACGUAACCAUGGGCUACAAAAACAACCCUGAAGCUAAUAAGGCAGCUUUCAGCUUUGGAUGGUUCCACACCGGAGAUAUUGGUUUCAUGGAUUCCGCUGGUUAUUUGCAACUCGUAGGCCGCAUUAAGGAGCUAAUCAACCGGGGAGGGGAGAAGAUAUCACCAUUAGAGGUGGACGCAGUGAUUUUGGCGCAUCCGGACAUAGCUCAGGCGGUUGCUUUUGGAGUCCCCGACGAUAAAUAUGGUGAAGAGAUAAAUUGUGCCAUCAUCCCCGGAGAAGGGUCGAAAAUCGACGAAGAGGAGGUACUCAAGCAUUGCAAGAAAAACCUCGCAAGUUUCAAGGUCCCCAAGAAAGUCUUCAUAACUGAUACAGUCCCCAAGACUGCGACCGGAAAGAUCCAAAGGCGAAUUGUAGCUGAGCACUUCCUUGCUCAAAUCUCUGCAGCCAAAGUAUCUAAAUUUGGAGCAUAAUCCAACAAUAUCUUUGACAGAUUUCUAUCUAUGCUUGCUUAAAAUUAUGAACAGCUUGCCAACAUUCACUGAUGCUUGUCAUCAACACUAUCUUACUAUUGCGGAGGCCUGUAUUGAAAGAUCUAGUGGAUGACAUUAUAAUGGUCAAGGACGAAGAGAUCAUAAAGGCCAUGAGAUUGUUCUAUGAGAUUCUAAAGGAAGUUGUGGAGCAAUUCCGGGACAAUCCUGCUUGAAAAGACGGCAGGGACAUCUGGAUCGUACUUUCAUGAGGUAAUACCGUAAUAUUGAUGAUCUUACUGUACUGUGUGAGAGUUAUUCAAAAAGAAUUUGAAUGAAAAGUUGAUAAAAUUCUUGUUUC
Molecule: RNA transcript, 2164 nt
Organism: Macadamia integrifolia
Lineage: Eukaryota; Viridiplantae; Streptophyta; Magnoliopsida; Proteales; Proteaceae
Gene name: probable CoA ligase CCL9
Exons: 5
Source: RefSeq, a predicted model, not a curated record